RNAcentral lists this non-coding RNA (21 nucleotides) under Caenorhabditis elegans. Lineage: Eukaryota; Metazoa; Nematoda; Chromadorea; Rhabditida; Rhabditidae. The record is from RNAcentral.
UCAAAUUUUGGCGAAUCUAUU